RNAcentral lists this long non-coding RNA (2106 nucleotides) under Sus scrofa (pig). Its description in RNAcentral is "lncRNA (ENSSSCG00040045875.1)". Lineage: Eukaryota; Metazoa; Chordata; Mammalia; Artiodactyla; Suidae. The record is from RNAcentral.
UUUCUGGGUGGUACUAACCUGGAAGCCAGCAAACAUUCCUCGCUUCAUUCUUAAGAAGUGAAGAAAUACAUCUGCAAAAAUAAACAGCUUGAAAAAGCUGAGCUUGCCAAAAAAAAUUAAAACCCAAAAUGUGUUUCCACUGGUUCCUCAAUAAUUUUCUUUAAUAAUGGAGAAAUCACUGUAAAAGCUAAUAAAUUUUAUAUUAGGGGCUGCCUCACUGAACAUAUAUGCCCCCCCCCCAAACACACACACACACACACACACACAAAAGUUGCUAACCUCCUCUUCUUGAUAGGAUAUACUGCCGAACAAGUCAGGAUACAGUCUCAAUUCUCAUGGUGCUUAGGUUCUAGAGAGAGAACACACAGAAAUACCCAACAGCAGUAAAUGCUAUGGAAAAUAGGGAUGAUGAAAAUAACUAGGCCUACUGAGAUGAGUCCAACAAAGUCCUCUGUGAGGAAGUGAUAUUUGAGGGGGGAACUGAAUGACAAGAACACAGCCAUGUGAAGAUGGAGAUUUCUCAGCUUGGAGUAGCAGCAAAGCAAAAAAGAUGGCCAGUGGAGCAGGUGUAAGGACCACAGAGGAAGAGUGAUAGCAGUUUAUAUAGCAGAGUCUUUUUGUUUCUAAAGACUGUAGGGGACAAUGAGAAUCUCCCUGGAACUUAGUGACAGCAGCUGAAGAAUCAUUAAUAACAACGUCCUCAACAUAAAGCACACCAUCAAAAGGGCAAACAGGCUAAGAGAUUCCACGAUUUCCCUCAAUUCACCCCCCCCACCCCCGCGGAGAAGGCAGCAAAUCUGCAAAAUUCCCCUCUCUUUCCACUUUUCUUCUCUAAAGUAUCUGAAAAAAGAUGGAAUAAAUAAGUGGAAAUCAGUCCAUUAACAUCUAAACCUUGCAAUAGAGCAAGGUCACUGUCAUGGGUUACACACACUGUUGUGCGGUUGAUGACCAUGGCAAUGAAGGAAAUUAAACCCAGGCCAUCACCUCAGUUGUUACCAAUGUGUUCCCAAACAAACAUACGUGAUCAUUCUGAACAACUUCAACAGCUUUACUGAAAGCACCCGGCUUUUGUACUCUCCCUUUGUAAGCAUUUAUAUUUAUUUUUAAUGACUAUGGUUGGAGGGAAUAUGAAUUUUUAAAAUCAAUCUUCCUAUCAGUACAGGCAAAGAAGUCAGCACCUUUCUAAAGAAAAACAAGCCUCUCAAAAGAAGUAAAAGAAAUGUAAUUAGAAAUGUAUUAAGGAUUAAAAGGCUGUUUUUAACUUGUUUCCUAAGAAACCAAAAAUAGACCUGACAAGUACAACUGCCAAAGCAGCUUAGAUCUACUUACACUAUUAUUAAAUUUUCCAGUUCAAAAUUUUUAGAAUCACUAAUUUAAGAGGUGAAAGAAAAGCUCUUACAUGAAAUAAAAUUAAGUCCCCAGUUAUUUGUGUUUGUGAUUCUUCUUCUAGUGAAAAAUUGACCUUCAUGAACAAAAAAAUUGCCAGGUUGCUCUCAAAGAGGUUAAUAAUUUAUUUUGCAACCAACAACCCAUUGUAAUUCUAAUAUAACCACAAAUGCCACCAUAGUCUGCAAACUUUGUACAAACAACAAGUUCCUGGCAAUUCAAUGUACUUAAUUUUAACAAGACAUGUAAAUUUGGUCACCAGACAUUAAAACUCUUAGUAGAAAGACAACAGUAAAGACAUUGCUCUGUAGCAGCAGCUCAUUCCACUCAGUACCUUCAGUAUGAGGAAGAAAUGUGUGACUAAAAAUUGAGGUCCUACAUUUAAAGCCCUUCUAAGUAGCUGUAAGGGAUGAAAAGGUCCAUACUGGGGCUGGAUAGAGCAGACCUGAAAGACCAGCAGGAAAUCUUGGGAGUAUGUGAUCAACUCAGGAGCCUAGGAAGCCACAUUCUCCCCACCAUUAAGCCAUAGAAGAGCAGUAAAAGCCUAGCCCUGAGUGAGAAUCCUCCUCCCACUUUCCCACUUUGCCAAUUGCAUUCCAUUCCAGGAGUUCCAGGGCUUCAGAUAAAGAAGGUCAAAAGACCAAGAGCAUAAAGCUUAUUUUCCUCUUGUCUGUCCAAAGCCCAACCACAGCCACGCCAAAUCCAAGCCGCGCCUGUGAC